Molecule: ribosomal RNA, 197 nt
Filed under: uncultured bacterium
Lineage: Bacteria
Description: partial 16S ribosomal RNA
Rfam family: Bacterial small subunit ribosomal RNA
Source: RNAcentral
ACGCUCGACACCUACGGGAGCAGCAGUGGGGAAUAUUGCACAAUGGGGGAAACCCUGAUGCAGCGACGCCGCGUGGAGGAAGAAGGUCUUCGGAUUGUAAACUCCUGUUGUUGGGGAAAAAGAGGAUGGUACCCAACAAGGAAGUGACGGCUAACUACGUGCCAGGAGCCGCAGUAAUCUGAGCGGGCUGGCAAGGC